RNAcentral lists this ribosomal RNA (433 nucleotides) under uncultured bacterium. RNAcentral's name for it is "partial 16S ribosomal RNA". It matches the Rfam family "Bacterial small subunit ribosomal RNA", at positions 29 to 507 of the family's 1533-position model. The record is from RNAcentral.
AACGAACACUGGCGGCAGGCCUAACACAUGCAAGUCGAGCGAGGACUUCGGUUCUAGCGGCGGACGGGUGAGUAACGCGUGGGAAUAUGCCCUUCUCUACGGAAUAGCCCUGGGAAACUGGGAGUAAUACCGUAUACGCCCUAUUGGGGAAAGAUUUAUCGGAGAAGGAUCAGCCCGCGUUGGAUUAGGUAGUUGGUGGGGUAAUGGCCUACCAAGCCGACGAUCCAUAGCUGGUUUGAGAGGAUGAUCAGCCACACUGGGACUGAGACACGGCCCAGACUCCUACGGGAGGCAGCAGUGGGGAAUCUUAGACAAUGGGGGCAACCCUGAUCUAGCCAUGCCGCGUGAGUGAUGAAGGCCUUAGGGUUGUAAAGCUCUUUCAGCUGGGAAGAUAAUGACGGUACCAGCAGAAGAAGCCCCGGCUAACUCCGUG